Molecule: long non-coding RNA, 230 nt
Filed under: Lathyrus oleraceus (garden pea)
Lineage: Eukaryota; Viridiplantae; Streptophyta; Magnoliopsida; Fabales; Fabaceae
Description: Pisum sativum (pea) long non-coding RNA (PSAT_LNC003365)
Source: RNAcentral
UCUCAUCGAGUUCCAACUCGGUUACACCCCAUAUGUCCUCAGACUCUCCGUGCUUCUGCCUUCUGAACAAGACGAUUCCAACUGAUCCUUACCGGGUAUUAUCCAUGAUGCUUUAACCAAAGCAACAAACGAUCAUGCGGGGCGCAGUUGUUCGUUUCAAUCCCUCUUUUGCCCGGACCGCCCUUUCGGGUUUUCAGUCCACCGGGAUACCCAUUUUUGCCCAAGUCGCC